AAUGUUGAGCCUGAAUAAAGGAGUAUCGUGAUAGGAUAAAAUAUGUAGAACACAAAUCUACCUUCAUUA
RNAcentral lists this transfer RNA (69 nucleotides) under Parrhinotermes aequalis. RNAcentral's name for it is "tRNA-Ile". The record is from RNAcentral. Lineage: Eukaryota; Metazoa; Arthropoda; Insecta; Blattodea; Rhinotermitidae.